RNAcentral lists this transfer RNA (74 nucleotides) under Stereum hirsutum FP-91666 SS1. RNAcentral's name for it is "tRNA-Asn (GTT) (tRNA-Asn-GTT-4-1)". It matches the Rfam family "tRNA". From Rfam's summary of the family: Transfer RNA (tRNA) molecules are approximately 80 nucleotides in length. Their secondary structure includes four short double-helical elements and three loops (D, anti-codon, and T loops). The record is from RNAcentral. Lineage: Eukaryota; Fungi; Basidiomycota; Agaricomycetes; Russulales; Stereaceae.
UGCCCCAUGGCUAAGUUGGUCAAAGCGUCCGACUGUUAAUCGGAAGGUCUCCAGUUCGAGCCUGGAUGGGGCAG